This 804-nucleotide ribosomal RNA is filed under the name Vibrio parahaemolyticus. RNAcentral's name for it is "partial 23S ribosomal RNA". It matches the Rfam family "Bacterial large subunit ribosomal RNA", at positions 1 to 852 of the family's 2925-position model. The record is from RNAcentral. Lineage: Bacteria; Pseudomonadati; Pseudomonadota; Gammaproteobacteria; Vibrionales; Vibrionaceae.
GUUGUAUGGUUAAGUGACUAAGCGUACACGGUGGAUGCCUUGGCAGUCAGAGGCGAUGAAAGACGUAGUAACUUGCGAUAAGCCCAGAUUAGGUAGUAACAACCAUUUGAGUCUGGGAUUUCUGAAUGGGGAAACCCACGUGCAUAAGCACGUAUCCUUACCUGAAUACAUAGGGUAAGGAGGCGAACCGGGGGAACUGAAACAUCUAAGUACCCCGAGGAAAAGAAAUCAACCGAGAUUCCGAAAGUAGCGGCGAGCGAAAUUGGACUAGCCCUUAAGCUUUACACGCGUUAGACGAACGGUCUGGAAAGUCCGACGAUACAGGGUGAUAGUCCCGUAGUUGACGACGUGUGUUCAGUGAAAUCGAGUAGGGCGGGACACGUGAUAUCCUGUCUGAAUAUGGGGGGACCAUCCUCCAAGGCUAAAUACUACUGACUGACCGAUAGUGAACCAGUACCGUGAGGGAAAGGCGAAAAGAACCCCUGUGAGGGGAGUGAAAUAGAACCUGAAACCGUGUACGUACAAGCAGUAGGAGCACCUUCGUGGUGUGACUGCGUACCUUUUGUAUAAUGGGUCAGCGACUUAUAUUCAGUGGCAAGGUUAACCAUCUAGGGGAGCCGUAGGGAAACCGAGUCUUAACUGGGCGUUCAGUCUCUGGAUAUAGACCCGAAACCAGGUGAUCUAGCCAUGGGCAGGUUGAAGGUUGAGUAACAUCAACUGGAGGACCGAACCGACUAAUGUUGAAAAAUUAGCGGAUGACUUGUGGCUAGGGGUGAAAGGCCAAUCAAACCUGGAGAUAGCUGG